AUUGAACGCUGGCGGCAGGCCUAACACAUGCAAGUCGAGCGGAUGAAGGGAGCUUGCUCCUGGAUUCAGCGGCGGACGGGUGAGUAAUGCCUAGGAAUCUGCCUGGUAGUGGGGGAUAACGUCCGGAAACGGGCGCUAAUACCGCAUACGUCCUGGGGGAAAAAGUGGGGGAUCUUCGGACCUCACGCUAUCAGAUGAGCCUAGGUCGGAUUAGCUAGUUGGUGGGGUAAAGGCCUACCAAGGCGACGAUCCGUAACUGGUCUGAGAGGAUGAUCAGUCACACUGGAACUGAGGCACGGUCCAGACUCCUACGGGAGGCAGCAGUGGGGAAUAUUGGACAAUGGGCGAAAGCCUGAUCCAGCCAUGCCGCGUGUGUGAAGAAGGUCUUCGGAUUGUAAAGCACUUUAAGUUGGGAGGAAGGGCAGUAAGUUAAUACCUUGCUGUUUUGACGUUACCAACAGAAUAAGCACCGGCUAACUUCGUG
Molecule: ribosomal RNA, 484 nt
Filed under: uncultured bacterium
Lineage: Bacteria
Description: partial 16S ribosomal RNA
Rfam family: Bacterial small subunit ribosomal RNA
Source: RNAcentral